GUCUCAAGAUUUCCUCCCUGCGGCGAUAUCAAAAGCGUCGAGCAUAGUCAGGUAGUUCAACAGGCCGGCUAUCAGUAAGAAAGUAUUGCCAUAUUCGUAUGUUGCGCGUGCAGCCUGCGCCGGAUCGUCGGCGAAACCAUAGCCGAGCACCCACGACAUGAUGUAGAGCGCGCCGGUGCCGAGGUUCGCGAUCAUUGGCGGCACUUGCAGAAGCUGCGAUGAACCUUCGGCCGCAUUGAGGCCAAACAUGUGGCCGCCCAUGUUUAGUCCGAUGAAGAACGCAGC
Molecule: unclassified non-coding RNA, 285 nt
Filed under: fungal sp.
Lineage: Eukaryota; Fungi
Description: partial internal transcribed spacer region
Source: RNAcentral